UAUUCUGUAGCAAGGUUAACCGAAUAGGGGAGCCGGAGGGAAACCGAGUCUUAAUUGGGCGUUAAGUUGCAGGGUAUAGACCCGAAACCCGGUGAUCUAGCCAUGGGCAGGUUGAAGGUUGGGUAACACUAACUGGAGGACCGAACCGACUAAUGUUGAAAAAUUAGCGGAUGACCUGUGGCUGGGGGUGAAAGGCCAAUCAAACCGGGAGAUAGCUGGUUCUCCCCGAAAGCUAUUUAGGUAGCGCCUCGUGAACUCAUCUCCGGGGGUAGAGCACUGUUUCGGCUAGGGGGCCAUCCCGGCUUACCAACCCGAUGCAAACUGCGAAUACCGGAGAAUGUUAUCACGGGAGACACACGGCGGGUGCUAACGUCCGUCGUGAAGAGGGAAACAACCCAGACCGCCAGCUAAGGUCCCAAAGUCAUGGUUAAGUGGGAAACGAUGUGGGAAGGCCCAGACAGCCAGGAUGUUGGCUUAGAAGCAGCCAUCAUUUAAAGAAAGCGUAAUAGCUCACUGGUCGAGUCGGCCUGCGCGGAAGAUGUAACGGGGCUAAACCAUGCACCGAAGCUGCGGCAGCGACGCUGAUGCGUUGUUGGGUAGGGGAGCGUUCUGUAAGCCUGCGAAGGUGGCCUGUGAGGGUUGCUGGAGGUAUCAGAAGUGCGAAUGCUGACAUAAGUAACGAUAAAGCGGGUGAAAAGCCCGCUCGCCGGAAGACCAAGGGUUCCUGUCCAACGUUAAUCGGGGCAGGGUGAGUCGACCCCUAAGGCGAGGCCGAAAGGCGUAGUCGAUGGGAAACGGGUUAAUAUUCCCGUACUUGGUGUUACUGCGAAGGGGGGACGGAGAAGGCUAUGUUGGCCGGGCGACGGUUGUCCCGGUUUAAGCGUGUAGGUGUGUGUUCCAGGUAAAUCCGGUUCACUUUAACACUGAGGCGUGAUGACGAGGCACUACGGUGCUGAAGCAACAAAUGCCCUGCUUCCAGGAAAAGCCUCUAAGCAUCAGGUAACACGAAAUCGUACCCCAAACCGACACAGGUGGUCAGG
Molecule: ribosomal RNA, 1040 nt
Filed under: Salmonella enterica subsp. enterica serovar Enteritidis
Lineage: Bacteria; Pseudomonadati; Pseudomonadota; Gammaproteobacteria; Enterobacterales; Enterobacteriaceae
Description: partial 23S ribosomal RNA
Rfam family: Bacterial large subunit ribosomal RNA
Source: RNAcentral